GAUGAACGCUGGCGGCGUGCCUAAUACAUGCCAGUCGAGCGAACGGACGAGAAGCUUGCUUCUCUGAUGUUAGCGGCGGACGGGUGAGUAACACGUGGAUAACCUACCUAUAAGACUGGGAUAACUUCGGGAAACCGUAGCUAAUACUGGAUAAUAUUUUGAACCGCAUGGUUCAAAAGUGAAAGACGGUCUUGCUGUCACUUAUAGAUGGAUCCGCGCUGCAUUAGCUAGUUGGUAAGGUAACGGCUUACCAAGGCAACGAUGCAUAGCCGACCUGAGAGGGUGAUCGGCCACACUGGAACUGAGACACGGUCCAGACUCCUACGGGAGGCAGCAGUAGGGAAUCUUCCGCAAUGGGCGAAAGCCUGACGGAGCAACGCCGCGUGAGUGAUGAAGGUCUUCGGAUCGUAAAACUCUGUUAUUAGGGAAGAACAUAUGUGUAAGUAACUGUGCACAUCUUGACGGUACCUAAUCAGAAAGCCACGGCUAACUACGUG
This 497-nucleotide ribosomal RNA is filed under the name uncultured bacterium. RNAcentral's name for it is "partial 16S ribosomal RNA". It matches the Rfam family "Bacterial small subunit ribosomal RNA", at positions 28 to 507 of the family's 1533-position model. The record is from RNAcentral.